Molecule: long non-coding RNA, 214 nt
Filed under: Mytilus galloprovincialis (Mediterranean mussel)
Lineage: Eukaryota; Metazoa; Mollusca; Bivalvia; Mytilida; Mytilidae
Source: RNAcentral
GUCCUGGUCAUAGCCAUUGCAAUGGUGUCGACAGUGAGGGCCGGGGAAUGUAAGAUGAUCUGUAACGACGAGGUCAGAAUCUGCAAGCUGGAGUUUUGCCUAAGUCACAGUGACAAAUUUUGCAAGAGGAAGUGCAAUAAGAUCAAGAAAGACUGCAUGGCGCUAUGCAAAUAUGAUUUUAAACGUAUUGCGCAUGCACCUAAUGAGGCCGAAG